CUUAUAGUGAAUGUUUUCUCUCGGUUCUAGUUUUUAUCCGGAUUUGUUUUCUCUCAAACGAUUUAUAUAUUAUCACGGAAGUCAUUGCACCAAUUAAGGGUUCCAAAUGGAAAAGUUGAAGUCAUCCCUCCGAGAGUAUUGAUAUCAUUUGCAAUGUGUAACACGAUGGUUGUUAUAAUUGUGCAGAAACUACUUACCAGUCCAGAGCAUAUGGUUUGUUUCUGUGUUAGUCAUAUCGCUUCUUGCAUAUUCAAGUUCUUAUACAUCAUAGGUUUCUAGAGAUGGAAAAUGUUAUACUAACUUUUUAUUUUCAUUUUCUGCAACUAUUAUUAUGAAAAUCAUAAAAAUACUGAACUCCGAGGAUAAUUACAAAGGAAAGUCCCUAAUCUAAUUGAAAAAUCUAAAGCUAAAACACAUCAAGCGUAAGACAACAACUGUCAUAUUCCUAACUUGGUACGGUCAUUUUCUUAUGUAGAAAAUGGUGGACUAAACCUGGUUUUAAAGCUAGAAAAACCUCUCACUUGUAUGACAGUUCCAUCAAAUUUCAUUAUAUUGACAACGACAUGUGAUCAAAACAAACAGACAUAAUAGGUAAAAAUGUCCAUAAUAAGGAUACAGCAGUCAACAUUGUGUUAUAUUCUUAAGCACUAUAAAAACAAACAAAUAUGUAACAAAGAAGCACAAAAAGGUAUAUAAACAAAGCACAUAAGCAAAAAUGAAAGACAAAAAUACAAAAAAAAAAUUAAUCAACGUACAAUAACGGGAUGUAUAAGUCCAGAGAAAUGUCAUUUGAAUCAAGAAAGCACAUUAGCAAAAAUGAAAGACAAGAAUACGAGAAUUAUCAUAGAACAAUAACACAAUGACGGGAUGUAUAAGUACAAAGUCACGUCAAAUGGAUAUCAAUAAAAGCAGGCUAAACAAUAAAAACGGUAUUCAUAAAGACAAAGAAAAGAACACUAUAGCACGUUAUUAAGAUGAUUAACAACUUUAGUACCCACAAUGUAUACUUCAGAUCCAUCGUGUAUUAUUUGUAAAACACAGAUUCAUCAGUCGUGUGAGCUAUACUCGCUGUUUUGCAAGUAAAGUGAUUGUCCCUACCAAUCCAUCUACCAAGUGAUUUGAUUUUGAUAAACAAUUCUAUUGUUACUAUUCUGUUUAUGAGUUAUUAAAAAGUAAUGAAAUUUCUAGUUGCAACUCCCUCGGGCA
RNAcentral lists this long non-coding RNA (1206 nucleotides) under Mytilus galloprovincialis (Mediterranean mussel). The record is from RNAcentral. Lineage: Eukaryota; Metazoa; Mollusca; Bivalvia; Mytilida; Mytilidae.